UUAACAAAAACAUGUCCUUUUGAUUUUUAUUUAAGGUCUAAUCUGCUCAAUGAUAUUUAAAUUGCCGCAGUAUUUUAACUGUGCGAAGGUAGCAUAAUAAUUAGUUUCUUAAUUAGGAGCUUGAAUGAAUGAUUGGACGAAAAAAUUUCUGUCUCAUUUUAAUGUUUUAUUGAAUUUUAUUUUUAAGUUAAAAAGCUUAAAUUAUUAUGAAAGACGAGAAGACCCUAUAGAGUUUAAUAUUAAAUUUAAAUAAUAUUUUAGAAAUUAAUUUUUAUUUUUAGUAUUUUGUUGGGGUGACUUGGAGAUUAAUUUAAUUCUCUAAAUUUUUAAUUGAUGAUAUUUAAUUUUCUAAUCUAUAAUUUGUAAAUUUAAAAACAAUUACCUUAGGGAUAACAGCGUAAUUUUUCUUAAAAGUUCUUAUUUAAAGAAGAUUUUGCGACCUCGAUGUUGGAUUAAAAUUAAUUUUUGGUGCAGUAACUUAAAAAUUUGGUCUGUUCGACCUUUAAAAUUUUACAUGAUCUGAGUUUAAACCGGUGUAAGCCAGGUUGGAUUCUAUCUUUAGAAAAUUAAUACAUUUUAGUACGAAAGGACCAAGUGUUUAUUAAAUAUUAAUUG
Molecule: ribosomal RNA, 615 nt
Filed under: Macrolycus aquilinus
Lineage: Eukaryota; Metazoa; Arthropoda; Insecta; Coleoptera; Lycidae
Description: partial 16S large subunit ribosomal RNA
Rfam family: Bacterial large subunit ribosomal RNA (bases 389-547)
Source: RNAcentral